This 69-nucleotide transfer RNA is filed under the name Anilany helenae. RNAcentral's name for it is "tRNA-Asp". The record is from RNAcentral. Lineage: Eukaryota; Metazoa; Chordata; Amphibia; Anura; Microhylidae.
GAGGCGCUAGUUAAAUUAUAACCAUACCUUGUCAAGGUACCAUUACAGGCCAAACCCCUGUGCCCCUCU